GGUUUCUCUGUGUAGCCCUGGCUGUCCUGGAACUCACUCUGUAGACCAGGCUGGCCUUGAACUCAGAAAUCCACCUGCCUCUGCCUCCCGAGUGCUGGGAUUAAAGGCGUGCGCCACCACCGCCCG
RNAcentral lists this microRNA precursor (126 nucleotides) under Mus musculus (house mouse). RNAcentral describes it as "predicted gene, 55238 (ENSMUSG00002075981.1)". The record is from RNAcentral. Lineage: Eukaryota; Metazoa; Chordata; Mammalia; Rodentia; Muridae.